UACAGAGGUCUCAAGCGUUGUUCGGAUUCAUUGGGCGUAAAGGGUGCGUAGGUGGCGCGCUAAGUCAGGUGUGAAAUUUCGGAGCUUAACUCCGAAACUGCAUUUGAUACUGGCGUGCUUGAGGGCUGGAGAGGAGACUGGAAUUCACGGUGUAGCAGUGAAAUGCGUAGAGAUCGUGAGGAAGACCAGUGGCGAAGGCGGGUCUCUGGACAGUUCCUGACACUGAGGCACGAAGGCCAGGGGAGCAAACGGG
Molecule: ribosomal RNA, 253 nt
Filed under: uncultured bacterium
Lineage: Bacteria
Description: partial 16S ribosomal RNA
Rfam family: Bacterial small subunit ribosomal RNA
Source: RNAcentral